RNAcentral lists this transfer RNA (74 nucleotides) under Clostridiales bacterium. RNAcentral's name for it is "tRNA-Cys". It matches the Rfam family "tRNA". Rfam says of the family: Transfer RNA (tRNA) molecules are approximately 80 nucleotides in length. Their secondary structure includes four short double-helical elements and three loops (D, anti-codon, and T loops). Lineage: Bacteria; Bacillati; Bacillota; Clostridia; Eubacteriales. The record is from RNAcentral. RNAcentral also lists the same sequence under 5 other names.
GGCGACGUGGCCAAGUGGUAAGGCAGGGGCCUGCAAAGCCCUCAUCCCCGGUUCGAAUCCGGGCGUCGCCUCCA